UUAGAGUUUGGUUCUGGCUUGGAUUUGGGUUUAUUCUGGAGUUACAUGGUAGUUUUUGCAUUCUAGCUUCCUGGCGGUUCUAAAGGUUUCCAGGGGAAGUAUUAGGUUUCCUAAUGCUUUGUCUACACCAGUAGUUAGCAUUGAUUAUCAAAUAAGUUUGGAUUCAGCCUAGAAUUUUAUGGCCUGUUAACUUUGUGCCAGCAACCGCGGUUAUACAUAGUGGCUAAAAUCAAAUUAAUUAGUGGUGCGGAUGCUCGCGAAGGUAGGAUUGCUAAUAGGAUGGUAAAAUAUAAAGUCUAAGAGUUCUAAGUUGUCUUGUGAUUUCCCGCGAAACUUAGCUCCCAAACCGGGAUUUGGUACCCGCUAUGCUAAGCUUAAAUGCUGAUGACUAGGGAACUACGGCAGUACUAAAACCCAAAGGACCUGGCGGCGUUUUAACUUAUUAGGGGAACCUGUCCUAGAAUCGAUGAUCCACGACUUUCGCUACUUUUCUUAGUUACCAGCCUGUAUACCUCCGUCUUUGGCUCACUUCUAAAGAGUGGGCAGAAUGGUUUUUGCCAGAAUGUCAGGUCAAGGUGCAGCCUAUAGAAAAGGUGAGAUGGGUUUCAUUUCCUAUCAAGAGAGGAAUGUAUAAUAAUUUUUAGAACUUAAAAGUAAUAGAGUAGAAGGAUUAUGAAUGAAGCAAUAAAAUGUGCACAAAUCGCCCGUCGCUCUCCACGAAAGCGGAGAUAAGUCGUAACAAAGUAGGCUUACCGGAAGGUGAGCCUA
Molecule: non-coding RNA, 768 nt
Filed under: Laqueus rubellus
Lineage: Eukaryota; Metazoa; Brachiopoda; Rhynchonellata; Terebratulida; Laqueidae
Source: RNAcentral